Magnolia sinica is the source of this 2961-nucleotide RNA transcript. RefSeq lists it as uncharacterized. The transcript is spliced from 5 exons. The record is from RefSeq and is a predicted model, not a curated record. Lineage: Eukaryota; Viridiplantae; Streptophyta; Magnoliopsida; Magnoliales; Magnoliaceae.
AGCUUCCAACAACAACAUCCCAACUUCAAAAACAAAAAAAAAACAAAAAACCCCACGUUUGAUUUUUCCUGAUUAGAGCUUCCAACAAGACCCAACCUUCCCCCCUCCACCCACCCAAAAAAAAGCAAAAAAAAAAAAAAAAGAAAAGGAAAAAGAAAAAGAAAAAAAAAGAAGACUUGGGUUUUGUCAAGGAGAUGAAUUUCAGAAGCCUGGAAGAGUUCUGGCCAUUCUACGUUACCCAGCACUCGAAGCGAUCGACUCGCCGCUGGCAUUUCAUUGGUACCCUCUCCGCCUCCCUCGUAUUCAUCUACUCUCUCCUCUUCAACUGGUGGGUCUUCUUCUCCGUUCCCCUCUUUGGCUACGGCUUUGCAUGGUAUAGCCACUUCUUUGUUGAAGGAAAUGUCCCUGCCACGUUCGGCCACCCGUUCUGGUCUCUUGUAUGCGAUUUCAAGAUGUUUGGAUUGAUGAUCACCGGUCAGAUGGAUAAGGAGAUCAAACGGCUCGGGAAGAGGCCUGUCUUGCAGGCCUUUUGAAUACUUUUGCAUGACCCAAAGAACCUCAAAAGGCAACAGAAUACUAUCCCAAACCCCGGAAGCAAAGGAGCUAUGGAUAAAAGGCAUGUAGAUCUUAUUCUAUUUCUUUGUCUUGGGGAUCAUCGUCAUCGUCAUCUAAGCCUUAUCUUAAUUAGGGUUGGAUACAAAAAUCCUGUUCCGGGAUGCAUUUGAAAAUGGAUGAAGCUAAUCAAUGUUGGUCAGAAACAAGUGGCAUUGCAAGCGAUUCAUGAUCUUCAUUUCAAAGAGGUAUAGGGCAUGACAGAAGACCCCAGAAAGGAUUAUGCCAAGUUAAGUGAAGCGGCAGGUUUACCAAGGAUGGCCUGAUUCAGUAUCAUAUUGUUUUCACCAGGAAGAAGUCAUAAAAUAUAUUAGGCAGCUAUCCACUAAGAGCGCAGAGCGGCUUGAAGCCAGGCGCAAUCCUUGGAAGAUGCUUUGGAUGUUGAUGAUUUGCAAGCAGACAAAAGGCCUAGAUAAUGCUAAGUCAUGUCAGUGGUGAGAAAGGCUGAGAUAGGUCUGACCAGGAGCUUGUAAUGGAUGUGGAUUGCAUCCUAUCCCGGCCCAUCCCUAGCCACGAACGGGCAGUUCUGUGGGCGGGCCCACCAUGAUUUAUCUGUUUAUCCACACCAUCCAUCCCUUCUCUCAGAUCAUUUUAAGGUAUGAACACAAAAAUGACGCAGAUCCAAUGCUCAAGUGGACCACACCACAGCUGACUCUUGCAUUUAAUGCAACCCAAGCUUAUUAUUUGGUGUGGUCCACUUGAGCGUUGGAUUUGCCUCAUUUUUGUGCAUAUAGCUUAAAAUGGUCUAAAAGAAGGGACGAAUGGCGUGGAUAAAUAGAUACAUCACGGUGGGCCUGCCGCCCACAGAACUGCCCGUUCGUGGGCAGAGACGAGCGGGGUAGGAUGCAAUUUACGUUUGAUUGUAACUCCAUGGUUCAAAUUUUUAUGGGAAACAAACAAAAUUGUGCUUGAAAUAUUACAUAACAACUCAAAAAUAGAAGCUUUAUGAAUGGUAAGCUGUUUGUCCUUGCAUAUUUAGAGUAGGUCUAUGCACUUGCAUUUAUUAAAACAUUUUACACUUGAAUCACUAGAUUUGUUCUUUAACUUUGAAUUUUCAUCAACUUCCUUCAGUUAGUAUUGGGGUUAGCAAGCAAGGUCAUAAACAUUUUACUUGUGUUUGCAAUUUUGCAUGUCUCAUUUUUACAAUGCUUUGGAUAUUUAUUCUCUCAUAAAUAAUCCGUCUUUCUUUAUCAAGAUUUCUUGUUUAAGAAGUUCCUAUAUAUGAAACUGUUGUGUUGGUGAGACACAUCUAAAUAUCAGUUUUGUAAUGAGCUUAGCAUCUUUCUUGAAGACUUCUUCUACUAAUGUUUAAAUACCCUUACUUGAGUCCCAGCAAAUGAAAGCUCACCUACUUUAUAAAGGAUUAGAGUCUGGUGUUGACGUGUGGGCCCCAUCCAAACUAAAGUCGACCAGCUUGGGUGUUAUUAGUUAAUCAGCCAGCUUUCGAAUGCUAAUUGUACACUUGAGUUUCCUUGGGGCACAUGGGAACUCUUGGGACAAAUCAAGUAAGAUCUGGAAGCUCAUCUAGUGGGUCACAUGAUAUGUGGGCAAUGGCCAUGGGACGAUUCAAACCACUGGAGUGGAAGUGGGCAAUGGCCAUGGUAUAAUUCAGACCACUAGAGUGGAAGGUUUAAAAAUGGGAUUGGUGGUUGACUGUCCAACCGAAACCGGUCUGAUUUUUUAGCCACCUAGCAUAUAUAGUGGUACUUUCCGGCUAAUUCAGAUCUCAUAUGCAUUGCAUCACAAUGGUUGGACAAAACGUGCCUGGCCAUGAAAACUGCAUGAUCAUGAGUUGAUUUAUAUAAACAGGCGGCGAAUAUUGAAAAGGCUGAAAACUGGCCAAGAAGAGAAAUGCAGAGGAGAAAGUGAAGAUGUAUAAGACCACUCAUUGGCAGAGGUAUGGAGAGAAUGAAUUGGAAGAGAACAAGAGAAUCCUCUUGAUUGAGAGAGGUAGAGAGAGAAUAAAUUGAAAGAAAGCGAGAGAAAUUCUCUUAAGAAUCUUGCAGCUACUCGCCCAGCUGGGCAAAGAGGUCAAUGUAACCCACACAUCAGAGCCCGUGGCCCUUGUUGUGGCAUCAACAAUAACAAACAUGCUUGGAAAAUAUGUGCGAAGGUUACGAUAUGAAAAAAUCAAAGGCUCGCGCGUAGUCACACUUAUAAUAUCAGAUUAUGAGGGCAGACAUGACAAUGGCCCACUCAAUUCUGAUGACAGGUGUUAUAGCGAUAAACGCAUGUCAACAUUUUUUUGGUGGUGACAGUCCGGAUCCCGGUUCUAGUGAUAUGUUGCAUGGUGAAAGAUACAGUUUGUAUUGAAUACUGAAUUUUCUUUUUUAGAUAGUGUUGAAUAAU